Molecule: long non-coding RNA, 541 nt
Filed under: Nannospalax galili (Upper Galilee mountains blind mole rat)
Lineage: Eukaryota; Metazoa; Chordata; Mammalia; Rodentia; Spalacidae
Description: lncRNA (ENSNGAG00000024398.1)
Source: RNAcentral
AAAACCAGGUGGCCCUCCCGCAAACAAGUUCUGCAUUCCUUUGAAAAAUGUGAUACUGAAAAAAGCUUCUCACUUUUCUAUUCUAUUAGGUGCUGAUCCAAGCCAAACUGGAGAACAAAUGAACGAAGAACAGUUGUGGGAACUCCACGUGAGAGAGCGAAGGCAAAGAGAAGAGCAAAGGCAGAAUGAACGGCAUGAAGCACUAGAGAGGGAGAGAAGAGAACUGGAAAAACUGGAGCAUGAGAGGAGGAUGAUUAAAGAAUCACUGAAGAUUGAAAUGGAAGAAUUAGAAAAAAGUGCUCAAGAAAAGAGAGACAAAUCGACACAUGGUGAAAAUCCUUUAGAGAAAUACAUGAGAAUCAUCCAGCAGGAAGGGGAGCAGACAAGUGCAGAUAAGAGCUCGAAAGAAUCAGGCAAAGAAUGCUCACUAGCGGACACGCUAGCACCUAGUGACAAGGAUAAAAGCCUUUCUCAUGAAGACCCAGAUGACAUGUGGUAAUCACGUUAUCUGUACAGCUUACAUACAACAUAAAGUCAAGAA